This 454-nucleotide ribosomal RNA is filed under the name uncultured Parabacteroides sp. RNAcentral describes it as "partial 16S ribosomal RNA". It matches the Rfam family "Bacterial small subunit ribosomal RNA", at positions 341 to 792 of the family's 1533-position model. The record is from RNAcentral. Lineage: Bacteria; Pseudomonadati; Bacteroidota; Bacteroidia; Bacteroidales; Tannerellaceae.
ACGGAAGGCAGCAGUGAGGAAUAUUGGUUAAUGGGCGGAAGCCUGAACCAGCCAUCUCGCGUGCAGGACUACGGCCCUACGGGUCUUAAACUGCUUUUAUGGGGGGAUAAAGUCGGGCAUGCGUGUCCGUUUGCAGGUACCCCAUGAAUAAGGAUCGGCUAACUCCGUGCCAGCAGCCGCGGUAAUACGGAGGAUCCGAGCGUUAUCCGGAUUUAUUGGGUUUAAAGGGUGCGCAGGCGGCCCGUUAAGUCAGCGGUGAAAUUUCGGGGCUCAACCCGGGCACUGCCGUUGAAACUGGGGGGCUUGAGUACGGAUGAGGUCGGCGGAAUGUGACGUGUAGCGGUGAAAUGCAUAGAUAUGUCACAGAACACCGAUUGCGAAGGCAGCCGGCCAAUCCGCAACUGACGCUCAUGCACGAAAACGUGGGGAUCGAACAGGAUUAGAUACCCUGGUA